UCGUGCUAGAUGGGGAGCUGGCGGUGCCCUGUACCCGCAAUCCGCCUUAGCGGGGUCGAAUUCCUCUUCGAGGUCCGGUGCUUCGGGACUGGCGACGACACGCGGUGUCGAUGGAAGGGUCCCGCGCGGCGGGGAACGGCGAACCCGGUCAGGACCGGAAGGUAGCAGCCGUAAACCGACCUCCCCGGGUGACGUGGGGAAGCCCAACCGGAGCAAGCGAUCGCCGACAAGCCGGGUCAUCAGGAUCGACAAGGGGUGCACGG
RNAcentral lists this signal recognition particle RNA (263 nucleotides) under Chloroflexota bacterium. RNAcentral's name for it is "signal recognition particle sRNA large type". It matches the Rfam family "Bacterial large signal recognition particle RNA". Rfam says of the family: The signal recognition particle (SRP) is a universally conserved ribonucleoprotein involved in the co-translational targeting of proteins to membranes. Archaeal SRP consists of a 7S RNA and homologues of the eukaryotic SRP19 and SRP54 proteins. In most bacteria, the SRP consists of a 4.5S RNA and the Ffh protein (a homologue of the eukaryotic SRP54 protein). RNAcentral also lists the same sequence under 1 other name. The record is from RNAcentral. Lineage: Bacteria; Bacillati; Chloroflexota.